Molecule: ribosomal RNA, 497 nt
Filed under: uncultured bacterium
Lineage: Bacteria
Description: partial 16S ribosomal RNA
Rfam family: Bacterial small subunit ribosomal RNA
Source: RNAcentral
GAUGAACGCUGGCGGCGUGCCUAAUACAUGCAAGUCGAGCGAACAGACGAGGAGCUUGCUCCUCUGACGUUAGCGGCGGACGGGUGAGUAACACGUGGAUAACCUACCUAUAAGACUGGGAUAACUUCGGGAAACCGGAGCUAAUACCGGAUAAUAUAUUGAACCGCAUGGUUCAAUAGUGAAAGACGGUUUUGCUGUCACUUAUAGAUGGAUCCGCGCCGCAUUAGCUAGUUGGUAAGGUAACGGCUUACCAGGGCGACGAUGCGUAGCCGACCUGAGAGGGGGAGAGGCCACACUGGAGGGGCGACAGGGACAAGACGCAUGCGGGAGGCAGCAGAAGGAAAGCGUCCGAAGGGGGAAAAAGCGUGACGGAAAAGGGGGGCGGGAGAAGGAAAGGUGUUGGGAUCGAAAAACUUUGUUAUGGGGAAAAAAAAAAUGUAGAAGAAAAAGUACAGGGCUUGAGGGUAAAAAAUAAAAAAGCCACGGAUAACUACGUG